RNAcentral lists this ribosomal RNA (449 nucleotides) under uncultured bacterium. RNAcentral's name for it is "partial 16S ribosomal RNA". It matches the Rfam family "Bacterial small subunit ribosomal RNA", at positions 29 to 523 of the family's 1533-position model. The record is from RNAcentral.
AGCGAACGCUGGCGGCAGGCUUAACACAUGCAAGUCGAACGCCCGGGCAACCGGGAGUGGCAGACGGGUGAGUAACGCGUGGGAACGUACCCUUUGGUUCGGAAUAACUCAGGGAAACUUGAGCUAAUACCGCAUAAGCCCUUUUGGGGCAAGAUUUAUCGCCGAAGGAUCGGCCCGCGUCCGAUUAGCUAGUUUGUGAGGUAAUGGCUCACCAAGGCGACGAUCGGUAGCUGGUCUGAGAGGAUGAUCAGCCACACUGGGACUGAGACACGGCCCAGCCUCCUACGGGAGGCAGCAGUGGGGAAUAUUGGACAAUGGGGGCAACCCUGAUCCAGCCAUGCCGCGUGAGUGCUGAAGGCCCUAGGGUUGUAAAGCUCUUUCGGCGGGGACGAUAAUGACGGUACCCGCAGAAGAAGCCCCGGCUAACUUCGUGCCAGCAGCCGCCGUAA